GAAGCCCUUCAGAUGGUCGCUGCGGAUCAUGCGUUCGCAGAGGAAAGUCCGGACUCCACAGGGCAGGGUAGUGGGUAACGCCCAUCCAUCGUGAGGUGAGGAUUAGAGCUACAGAGACGAGUCCAUAUCGGGCAACCGGCAUGGGGUGAAACGAGCAAUCUCUACCUGGAGCAAUACCAAAUAGGCAGGCAUUGAGGCGGCCCGCUGAGCCUGCGGGUAGGUAGCUAGAGGCGUGCGGUAACGCGCGUCCCAGAGGAAUGACCGUCAUAGCCCCGCAAGGGGCCGUAACAGAAUCCGGCUUAUCGGGGGGCUUCCACU
RNAcentral lists this RNase P RNA (318 nucleotides) under Betaproteobacteria bacterium. RNAcentral describes it as "RNase P RNA component class A". It matches the Rfam family "Bacterial RNase P class A". From Rfam's summary of the family: Ribonuclease P (RNase P) is a ubiquitous endoribonuclease, found in archaea, bacteria and eukarya as well as chloroplasts and mitochondria. Its best characterised activity is the generation of mature 5'-ends of tRNAs by cleaving the 5'-leader elements of precursor-tRNAs. The record is from RNAcentral. Lineage: Bacteria; Pseudomonadati; Pseudomonadota; Betaproteobacteria.